RNAcentral lists this ribosomal RNA (123 nucleotides) under Escherichia coli. Its description in RNAcentral is "partial 16S ribosomal RNA". It matches the Rfam family "Bacterial small subunit ribosomal RNA", at positions 1411 to 1533 of the family's 1533-position model. RNAcentral also lists the same sequence under 6 other names. The record is from RNAcentral. Lineage: Bacteria; Pseudomonadati; Pseudomonadota; Gammaproteobacteria; Enterobacterales; Enterobacteriaceae.
UGGGUUGCAAAAGAAGUAGGUAGCUUAACCUUCGGGAGGGCGCUUACCACUUUGUGAUUCAUGACUGGGGUGAAGUCGUAACAAGGUAACCGUAGGGGAACCUGCGGUUGGAUCACCUCCUUA